RNAcentral lists this long non-coding RNA (1630 nucleotides) under Homo sapiens (human). RNAcentral's name for it is "HSALNT0408156". Lineage: Eukaryota; Metazoa; Chordata; Mammalia; Primates; Hominidae. The record is from RNAcentral.
GGCGGCUGCAGGAGUGGAGGGCCGGGAAGCAUGGCGGCCGCUCGAACGCCGCGCGGCGGAGGCUGUUAGGGCGUGGAGGGCCCGGGAAAGCGGCCCAGGGACGCAGGCAGGCUAGGCCGCCUCUUUAGGCCACGGAGCCGCGCAGAUCCGGGUCCCAGGUGACCACUCUGUCGCCAUUGGGCGAGACCUACCUAGUCCUGAAGACAACGGACAAAGGGCUUAACCGGCCUGGUAGGUGAGCGAAGUCCCAGACGGCGACGGGUGGAACUGUUAGCGGCCAUCGGGCGGUUGGUCUUCGUUCUACCAGACCUUGCUGUCGAAAGAGAGAAAUGAUAGAAUGACAGGCCACGUUUGGCCCGUUGGAAAUGCCCACCACCCUCUGGGAAGAUUUACUGGCCGUUUAUGGAAGGCCUGUGUAUAUAAUAUGAAAAAACUGCUCUCAACUCCACCCCAACCUUUUAAUAGAAAACAUUUGUCACAUCUAGCCCUUCUAGAUGGAAAGAGGUUGCCGACGUAUGAUAAAGUAGAGUUAGAAAGUCACACGUCUUGUAAAUUCUCAUUUGUUUAAAAUAAAUAAUAGAAAAUACAUGUCUUCUGGAGAUGACUUUUGGAAAUGGAGUUGUUAGACGGGCUCUGGAAGCUAUACGUCCACGUUUGUUCGGUGGGUUAGAUGACAAGGAGCUAGAAGACCUGAGAAGGAAGAGAAGAAGGUUCUUUCCUAGACUGGUCAUAUUUAGAAGACAUUUUCGUAUUCUAUCCAUUGUUUUGUGUGCAUUUUAUUCCUCACUACUGUGUACAUAGUUGACAAUGCUAAGCUUUUUUGAAAUGUCUGUUCUUUUUAGAUGUUCUGAAGUACUGAUAUGUUAAAAUUAGAGGUAGCAAAAUCACAUUUUGUAAGUAUCUUUUUGUUACAAUUCAUAGGAAAUUUUUUUGAGGGGAAUGGCCAAAUCACCUGUGGAGUAAUACUCAUUGUGUUUGUGCAGUGGUUCAGGGGAGGAGAGAGGAGGGGGAGGUGCAGAGAGCUCUAUGCCAUCCUUUUUACAAGAUGAAUCAUUAUCUCUGUGCAUUUUGUUUUACUUAUCUGUGUAUAUAGUGUACGUAAAGGACAAACGAUUCCUAAUUGACAACAUCUAGUCUUUCUGGAUGUUAAAGAGGUUGCCAGUGUAUGACAAAAGUAGAGUAAUAUAUUUUGUACAUUUUGUUUUACAAGUCCUAGGAAAACUAAUAUAUUUUGUACAUUUUGUUUUAGAAGUCCUAGGAAAGAUUGUCUUCUGAAAAUUUGAGCAUUCUUACCCACUAGGUUGAUGGAGAUGGGAAGGGUUCUAGGCCAGAAUGUUCACAUUUGGAAGACUCUUUCAAAUUAUAACUGUUGUUACAUGUUUGCAGUUUAUUCAAGACUGCUGUGUACAUAGUGGACAAAUUAACUCCUUACUUGAAACAUCUAGUCUAUCUAGAUGUUUAGAAGUGCCUGAUGUAUGUUAAAUGUAGAGGUAGUAAAAUACCACUUUGUAAAUAUCUUUUUGCUAAAAUUCAUAGGAAAUGCUGUUUGGAAGUGGAAUUGUUGAACCACCUGGGAGGUGGGAGGGAAGAAGUUGCAAAAGGUGUUUUGCCAUUGUUUAUUAGAAAAUUU